UACGUAGGUGGCGAGCGUUAUCCGGAAUCAUUGGGCGUAAAGGGUGCGUAGAUGGCAUGAUAAGUUAUUGGUGGGAAAUCGAGGCUCAACCUCGUGGAAGCUAGUAAUACUGUUUUGCUUGAGUACAGAAGAGGUUAACGGAACUCCAUGUGGAGCGGUAAAAUGCGUAGAUAUAUGGAAGAACACCAAUAACGGCGAAGGCAGUUAACUAUUCUGUUACUGACAUUGAGGCACGAAAGCGUGGGGAGCAAAAAGG
RNAcentral lists this ribosomal RNA (256 nucleotides) under uncultured bacterium. RNAcentral's name for it is "partial 16S ribosomal RNA". It matches the Rfam family "Bacterial small subunit ribosomal RNA", at positions 524 to 776 of the family's 1533-position model. The record is from RNAcentral.